Molecule: ribosomal RNA, 1418 nt
Filed under: uncultured bacterium
Lineage: Bacteria
Description: bacterial SSU rRNA
Rfam family: Bacterial small subunit ribosomal RNA
Source: RNAcentral
AUUGAACGCUGGCGGCAUGGCUAAAACAUGCAAGUCGAACGCGAAAGGGAGCAAUCCCAAGUAGAGUGGCGAAAGGGCGAGGAAUAAAUUUCUACGUACCCUGAGGUCGGGGAUACCUCGGAGAAAUCCGAAUCAAUACCCGAUGUGGUCCGAAAGGAUCAAAGGCUUGCUGCCUCAGGAGCGGGGAAUUUCCUAUCAGGUAGUUGGUGGGGUAAUGGCCUACCAAGCCUUAGACGGGUAGCGGGUGUGAGAGCACGGCCCGCCGCAUCGAGACUGAGACACUGCUCGGACUCCUACGGGAGGCUGCAGUAACGAAUCUUCCGCAAUGCGCGAAAGCGUGACGGGGCAAUGCCGCGUGCAGGAUGAAGCCCUUCGGGGUGUAAACUGCUGUCAGGGGGCAGGAAUACAAUGACCAUACCCAAAGGAAGCACCGGCUAACUCUGUGCCAGCAGCCGCGGUAAUACAGAGGGUGCGAGCGUUAAUCGGAAUCACUGGGCUUAAAGCGUUCGUAGGCGGAUCUGUAGGCGCGUUGUGAAAGCCCUCGGCUCAACCGGGGAACUGCUUCGCGAACCACAGAUCUUGAGUCAAGUAGGGGCGGUCGGAACGAUAGGUGGAGCGGUGAAAUGCGUAGAUAUCUAUCGGAACGCCGACGGUGAAGACAGGCCGCUGGGCUUGUACUGACGCUGAGGAACGAAAGCGUGGGGAGCAAACGGGAUUAGAUACCCCGGUAGUCCACGCUGUAAACGAUGCGCACUAGGUCGGGGAGGCUUGACGCCCUCCUGGCCGCAGCAAAAGUGAUUAGUGCGCCGCCUGGGGAGUACGGUCGCAAGGCUAAAACUCAAAGGAAUUGACGGGGGCUCACACAAGCGGUGGAGCAUGUGGCUUAAUUCGAAGCAACGCGAAGAACCUUAUCCUAGGCUUGACAUGCACGUAUCAACUUCCUGAAAGGGAAGCCACACCCGCAAGGGCGGAACGUGCACAGGUGCUGCAUGGCUGUCGUCAGCUCGUGCUGUGAAGUGUCGGGUUAAGUCCCUCAACGAGCGAAACCCCUGUCGUUAGUUGCUAACGCGUUAUGGCGAGGACUCUAGCGAGACUGCCGGUGUCAAACCGGAGGAAGGUGGGGAUGACGUCAAGUCCUCAUGGCCUUUAUGCCUAGGGCUGCACACGUGCUACAAUGGCGGAUACAGAACGAUGCAAGACCGCAAGGUGGAGCAAAUCGCAUAAAGUCCGCCCCAGUUCGGAUUGGAGGCUGCAACCCGCCUCCAUGAAGUCGGAAUCGCUAGUAAUCGCGGAUCAGCUACGCCGCGGUGAAUAUGUUCCUGAGCCUUGUACACACCGCCCGUCAAGUCAUGGGAGCUGGCAGUGCCCAAAGUCGCCUCGUUUCAGGGGUGCCCACGGCAAGGCUGGUGACUGGGACU